RNAcentral lists this ribosomal RNA (254 nucleotides) under uncultured bacterium. RNAcentral describes it as "partial 16S ribosomal RNA". It matches the Rfam family "Bacterial small subunit ribosomal RNA", at positions 524 to 776 of the family's 1533-position model. The record is from RNAcentral.
UACGUAGGGACCGAGCGUUGUCCGGAUUCAUUGGGCGUAAAGAGCUCGUAGGCGGCCACUCAAGUCGAAUGUGAAACCUCGAGGCUUAACCUCGAGCCUGCAUUCGAUACUGGGCGGCUAGAGUCUGGUAGGGGGGAUCUGGAAUUCCUGGUGUAGCGGUGGAAUGCGCAGAUAUCAGGAGGAACACCGGUGGCGAAGGCGGGAUCCUGGGCCAGUACUGACGCUGAGGAGCGAAAGCGUGGGGAGCAAACAGG